This 396-nucleotide ribosomal RNA is filed under the name uncultured bacterium. RNAcentral's name for it is "partial 16S ribosomal RNA". It matches the Rfam family "Bacterial small subunit ribosomal RNA", at positions 523 to 918 of the family's 1533-position model. The record is from RNAcentral.
AUACGUAGGGGGCGAGCGUUGUCCGGAAUGAUUGGGCGUAAAGGGCGCGUAGGCGGCCCGGUAAGUCUGGAGUGAAAGUCCUGUUUUUAAGAUGGGAAUUGCUUUGGAUACUGUCGGGCUUGAGUGCAGGAGAGGUAAGUGGAAUUCCCAGUGUAGCGGUGAAAUGCGUAGAGAUUGGGAGGAACACCAGUGGCGAAGGCGACUUACUGGACUGUAACUGACGCUGAGGCGCGAAAGUGUGGGGAGCAACAGGAUUAGAUACCCUGGUAGUCCACACUGUAAACGAUGAAUGCUAGGUGUAGGGGGUAUCGACCCCUUCUGUGCCGCAGUCAACACAAUAAGCAUUCCGCCUGGGGAGUACGGCCGCAAGGUUGAAACUCAAAUGAAUUGACGGGG